This 546-nucleotide ribosomal RNA is filed under the name Vibrio sp. Its description in RNAcentral is "bacterial SSU rRNA". It matches the Rfam family "Bacterial small subunit ribosomal RNA", at positions 380 to 917 of the family's 1533-position model. The record is from RNAcentral. Lineage: Bacteria; Pseudomonadati; Pseudomonadota; Gammaproteobacteria; Vibrionales; Vibrionaceae.
AGCCUGAUGCAGCCAUGCCGCGUGUAUGAAGAAGGCCUUCGGGUUGUAAAGUACUUUCAGUUGUGAGGAAGGGGGUAGUGUUAAUAGCUGCUAUCUCUUGACGUUAGCAACAGAAGAAGCACCGGCUAACUCCGUGCCAGCAGCCGCGGUAAUACGGAGGGUGCGAGCGUUAAUCGGAAUUACUGGGCGUAAAGCGCAUGCAGGUGGUUCAUUAAGUCAGAUGUGAAAGCCCGGGGCUCAACCUCGGAACUGCAUUUGAAACUGGUGAACUAGAGUACUGUAGAGGGGGGUAGAAUUUCAGGUGUAGCGGUGAAAUGCGUAGAGAUCUGAAGGAAUACCAGUGGCGAAGGCGGCCCCCUGGACAGAUACUGACACUCAGAUGCGAAAGCGUGGGGAGCAAACAGGAUUAGAUACCCUGGUAGUCCACGCCGUAAACGAUGUCUACUUGGAGGUUGUGGCCUUGAGCCGUGGCUUUCGGAGCUAACGCGUUAAGUAGACCGCCUGGGGAGUACGGUCGCAAGAUUAAAACUCAAAUGAAUUGACGGA